Molecule: non-coding RNA, 24 nt
Filed under: Arabidopsis thaliana (thale cress)
Lineage: Eukaryota; Viridiplantae; Streptophyta; Magnoliopsida; Brassicales; Brassicaceae
Source: RNAcentral
UACAAUAUGGCUCCUAACCUCUGU